This is an RNA transcript of Rhodamnia argentea, 2934 nucleotides long. It is a transcript of the gene named transcription initiation factor TFIID subunit 15b, with no coding region annotated. The record is from RefSeq and is a predicted model, not a curated record. NCBI's taxonomy places the organism in Eukaryota, Viridiplantae, Streptophyta, Magnoliopsida, Myrtales, Myrtaceae. The transcript is spliced from 8 exons.
AGAAAAAGGGGACGUAAGAGCAGAUAUUUAAUUUAGCGCUCCCGGCCUGGGCAAUAUAGAAAUAACUUCGAAUUGGAGUCGGCUCAGAACCCUAGCUAGUUCUAUCUCGCGUUCUCCUCCAUCUCGGGAGCCCUAGAAAUUUUGGGAGACAUGUCCGGGAUGUACGGUCAAGGAGGCGACGGAGGUUAUGGCGGCGGUGGAUACGCCGGUGAAGGUGGAUAUGGCGGCGGAGGCGGGGCUGGAGGCUAUGGUGGUCCUGUUGGAGGUGGUGGCGGUAGCGGUAGCUAUGGCGGAGGCUAUGGUGCCGGUGGUGGCGCCGGCGGCGGAGGGGGCUAUGGGGGAGGCGAUGGAGGUUAUGGUGGCGGAGGUCGGGGAGGUGGUUACGGGGGCGGAGGGCGCGGCGGAGGCGGUGGUGGUAGGGGAGGUGGUGCUGGUGGAGGAUAUGGAGGGAAUCGAGGAGAUCGUGGCGGCCGGGGCGGUGGCGCCAGAGGAGGGGGCCGAGGAGGUAGCGGCCGUGAUGGCGAUUGGCUGUGUCCUAACCCCAGCUGUGGGAAUCUGAACUUUGCCAGAAGAGUCGAAUGCAACAAAUGUGGAGCACCUUCUCCCACUGGUUCUGGUGAGCGCGGUAAUGGUAAUGACCGGGGAGGUGGUGGUUAUAACAGAGGAGGUAGCGGUGGAGGAUACAGUGGAAAUCGAGGGGGCCGAAGUGGAAGUUACGAGGGUGGUAGAGGUGGUAGCUAUGACGGAAGAAGUGGCAGCAGCGAUAGAGGUAGUUCUUAUGGAGGUAAUCAAGGGAGAGAAGAUAGCGGUUAUGGCCAGGUUCCUCCACCUGCACCCCCAUCUUAUGGUGGGGCUGGUACAGAUCUUUUGCCUCCUGCAAAUGCUUAUAGGGGAAAUGCUAACUAUGGUACUGAGGCUGUUCCUCCUCCAUCAAGCUUUGGUGGGGGGCCAACAUCAUACCCUCCAAUGUAUAGUGGCACACCUGGUGGUUUUGGUGGUGGUGGUGGUGGUGAUAUCGGAGAUGCAAGGACUGGAGGCCGGAGGGUUCCACCCUCCGGGUUUGAUGGAGGCUAUGGUGGUGGUGCUCCACGGCACCAUGGGGGUGGUGGGACUGUUGCCGCUGAUGUCCCUGCCGCUAAGGUGAAGCAGUGCGAUGAGAACUGUGGGGAUACUUGUGACAACUCGAGGAUUUACAUAUCAAAUUUGCCACCAGAUGUGACCACUGAUGAACUGAAGGACCUCUUUGGAGGCAUUGGUCAAGUUGGAAGAAUCAAGCAGAAACGAGGUUACAAGGACCAGUGGCCGUAUAAUAUAAAAAUCUACACUGACGAGGAAGGGAACAACAAAGGGGAUGCUGUGUUGUCUUAUGAAGAUCCAUCUGCUGCACAUUCUGCUGGCGGUUUCUUCAACAAUUAUGAAAUGAGGGGAUACACAAUAAAUGUUGCAAUGGCAGAGAGGUCAGCUCCAAAAGCUCCACCUGCAUAUGACCGUGGCAGGGGUGGUAGAGGUGGCUAUGGUGGUGGUGGGGAUAGACGCAACAGAGAUGGCGGAGGUUCUGGGCCAGAUAGACAUUAUCAUGGUGGAAAUCGUUCGCGUCCUUACUGAUUAUACUUCAGCAUGGGAGAUAUUAUGUAUACUAGAAAUUGUGGUUCAAGCGUUUAGUUGUGUGUUGCGUUGGCUGGAUUGUUCUUUGACUGGAGACUAAGAGAGGCAAGUGGAAUAGUCCCCAAUUGCUUGCUGCUAAGGUAGGUAGUGUCUUCAGUUAAUCACAGAGAAAGAUGCUAGUGUAAUUGGUGAACUAGAUGCCAUGAACUUAUCAACACAUGCCUAUCUUAAGCAAGGUAGGCGACCUAUGAAGUUUAGCUGGCGGCAGGGAUUUGCUUGUAGCAUAAACCACUUUACAUUUCUCUAAUGGGCAGUCUCAUCUUCGGUCUUAUACCUCGACCUUAUGACGGUUCAGAAGAUUAUAACCUUGUUCUUGUCAGGUUGAUUUUAUCUGUUUUACUCAGCUGUAUAUUUGAUUUAGCUGGUAGGUACUGUUAACUAUGGUAACUUUUCUCUACUCCCCUUCAUUUUGAACUAAGAAUUAUCUUCUUCUUAGUAGCGGGUUAAGGGUGGUAACAGGGAUAGGAAUCUUUUUGGGUUUGUUGGGGAAAAUUUAAAGGUGGACCUAUCGUUCAGGGGUACACAGGAAUUUUGUUUUUCCUCUUUUUAAAAGAUGUGACUGACUGUGAAAAGGGGUCGACAAUGAUCAUUGUUCAUCAAUAGGCUUGUUGAGGACAGCCAUGAAUCGAUUGGGGGCCAGGACAUGGGCAUCCAUGGUCGUGGGAUUCCAGAAACCACCGACUUUGAUGGAUGCCUUCAAUGUACCAAGCCAAGCUAAUAAUAGGUCUUUAUCCUGGGGACUAGCAUACUGGUUCUUAACCUUCUCCUCUAGAAACUUGGGUGGAUCGAUGAUGCAUUACUUUUCUGCCGUUUAUGAGGCUUCUUGGUUUUUUUCUUUUGGCGGCAUCAUUUUAAGCAAUUUGCUGCUGGAGUUAAAAUUUCCAUACUGGUUCUCUGGAAUGGCAGAUAGGAUAUUCUACUGUAUGGAAUUCUCAAAUUUUGUAAAGACAAUGAAUAAGGGGUUUUGGUUCCAUUUAUUUGUAAUUUCAAGCUGGGUUUCGUGGCAUCGAAGUUCAAAGGGGAGAUCUUAUUUCAAUUUCUCCUCUUUUCAUUGUUUUUCUGGUUUUUUCCUUGGUUUCUCCUUGUGUUUCCCACCACUCUUUAGAUUGCAAAAAUAAUUCGAAAGGCCAAUCAUAAUGUGAAAACCUAUUGAAACAAUCUGUAAGUUCCUCCUGUUCGUAUGUCGAAGCUAUUGGGAUAGACAUUCCCCGUGGAAACCCUUGUAUCAGACAUGAAGUUCAUUGUGAAAUGCGGGAUCUGGUCUGCAAG